UACGUAGGGUGCGAGCGUUGAUCGGAAUUACUGGGCGUAAAGCGUGCGCAGGCGGUUUUGUAAGCCAGAUGUGAAAUCCCCGGGCUUAACCUGGGAAUGGCAUUUGGGACUGCAAGGCUGGAGUGCGGCAGAGGAGACUGGAAUUCCUGGUGUAGCAGUGAAAUGCGUAGAUAUCUGGAGGAACACCGAUGGCGAAGGCAGCCUUCUGGGCCAACACUGACGCUCAUGCACGAAAGCGUGGGGAGCAAACAGG
RNAcentral lists this ribosomal RNA (253 nucleotides) under uncultured bacterium. Its description in RNAcentral is "partial 16S ribosomal RNA". It matches the Rfam family "Bacterial small subunit ribosomal RNA", at positions 524 to 776 of the family's 1533-position model. The record is from RNAcentral.